RNAcentral lists this ribosomal RNA (253 nucleotides) under uncultured bacterium. Its description in RNAcentral is "partial 16S ribosomal RNA". It matches the Rfam family "Bacterial small subunit ribosomal RNA", at positions 524 to 776 of the family's 1533-position model. The record is from RNAcentral.
UACGUAUGGUGCAAGCGUUAUCCGGAUUUACUGGGCGUAAAGGGAGCGCAGGCGGUGCGCCAAGUCUGAUGUGAAACCCCGGGGCUCAACCCCGGGCAUGCAUUGGAAACUGGCGGGCUGGAGUGCCGGAGAGGUAAGCGGAAUUCCUAGGGUAGCGGUGAAAUGCGUAGAUAUUAGGAGGAACACCAGUGGCGAAGGCGGCUUACUGGACGGCAGCUGACGCUGAGGCUCGAAAGCGUGGGGAGCAAACAGG